Phacochoerus africanus (Common warthog) is the source of this 527-nucleotide long non-coding RNA. RefSeq lists it as uncharacterized. The record is from RefSeq and is a predicted model, not a curated record. The transcript is spliced from 4 exons. NCBI's taxonomy places the organism in Eukaryota, Metazoa, Chordata, Mammalia, Artiodactyla, Suidae.
CGUACGUCGUACGUAAUCGUGGGCGCUCUUGCUCUUUGAUGUACGUGAGCGUGGCUGAGUGCGUUCUUUCAAUCCUCACAAACCUGGAGGAAAGCUGGGGCAGUUGGUGUGACAGGCGUUUGCCAGUGGACACGCUUGAACACCAGUACGUUGUGUAACUUGCACGGGCUCACAAGGCUGAUGAUGAUAGUUCCCUGUCUUUAUGCCAUGCUACUGUACCCCGUGACACUCCCUUCCCCAGAAAUGAUGAUAUGCCCAGAGCCUGACAGAAUUGUUGGUCUAACUUCUUGUAACAUACCAGAGAGAUCAAGAUGCAGAAAAGGAGAGAUUCAGACGCCUCCUCUGGGAGGAACAUACGUUGAGAAGAGUGUUACCUUCCAGACAGUGCAGCAUCUGCUGUCCAGAUGGAUUCUGGGUUCUGAAGCCUUUCCCCCAUAGUGGUUGCAGAUGUCAACAGGUCCAGGGACACCGACCCUAUCAGACCUACCUUCUGGCCCUGCUCACAGUGGAAAGAGGAUGGAGACCAG